This is a non-coding RNA of Acanthosepion pharaonis, 106 nucleotides long. The record is from the annotation of a GenBank genome assembly. Lineage: Eukaryota; Metazoa; Mollusca; Cephalopoda; Sepiida; Sepiidae.
ACGGACAUAUCACGUUGAAACACCGGUUCUCGUACGAUCACCGAAGUUAAGCAACGUCGAGUCUGGUCAGUACCUAGAUGCCAGACGACUUGGGAAUAUCCGACGC